RNAcentral lists this ribosomal RNA (305 nucleotides) under uncultured bacterium. RNAcentral describes it as "partial 16S ribosomal RNA". It matches the Rfam family "Bacterial small subunit ribosomal RNA", at positions 508 to 807 of the family's 1533-position model. The record is from RNAcentral.
ACAGCAGCCGCCGCGGGAAUACAGAGGGUGCGAGCGUUAAUCGGAUUUACUGGGCGUAAAGCGUGCGUAGGCGGCUUCUUAAGUCGGAUGUGAAAUCCCUGAGCUUAACUUAGGAAUUGCAUUCGAUACUGGGAAGCUAGAGUAUGGGAGAGGAUGGUAGAAUUCCAGGUGUAGCGGUGAAAUGCGUAGAGAUCUGGAGGAAUACCGAUGGCGAAGGCAGCCAUCUGGCCUAAUACUGACGCUGAGGUACGAAAGCAUGGGGAGCAAACAGGAUUAGAUACCACAGUAGUCCCUGUCUCUUAUAC